This 61-nucleotide transfer RNA is filed under the name Franciscoloa funerei. RNAcentral's name for it is "tRNA-Gly". The record is from RNAcentral. Lineage: Eukaryota; Metazoa; Arthropoda; Insecta; Psocodea; Menoponidae.
AGUUAUUUAGUAUAAUGAGUAUGUUUAACUUCCAAUUAAAUGGUCCUUCAUGGAAUAACUA